GCUGGUAAUUGCUGUCAUGUUGGUAUGACUGAGUGGAAGUAGGGGCAGGAUCUGAAUCAGUCCCAUUUCUGCUGCUAGAAGUGUAUUGGGCAGUUGAUGGAUAGCUGCUAGGAGGAGCUGACUGUGGAGCAUAGGAAGAAUCUGAGCCUUGAUAAUAAGAAGGAUAGUGAGAUGGGAUUGAUGGGAGACUGCUCUCUGUGAAACCAGGAUAAGACUGGAAGUUGGGAUAUGAGUAGGAGGGUGUGUCAUGAUGCGGAUAAUUAUGUGGUGCAUGCUGGUGAAGUUCUCGUGAGUAGGA
RNAcentral lists this unclassified non-coding RNA (298 nucleotides) under Hevea brasiliensis (rubber tree). Lineage: Eukaryota; Viridiplantae; Streptophyta; Magnoliopsida; Malpighiales; Euphorbiaceae. The record is from RNAcentral.